UUUGGGCACUACACCAAAUUCCUUUGCAGUUCUAUGUUUAACUUGUGGCCAGUCUUAGCUAUAAUUACACCAUGGCAUGGAUGCAGAAAAAAUAUGUAUAUAUAUAUAUUAAAGGAACAAAUACCCUGGUACAAAAACAAGGAUGGGGUAAGGAAAGAAAUUUAGAAACAAUUUUCACCAUUUGCUUAACAUGUUGGAGAUCCUUCCCUGCCUGAUACAUUGGUUGCAGCACAGAGACAUCUGCUGUUAGCAAAAAAAAAAAAGAUUGUUUGUAGAGGUCUUCUAGGGGAAAUGAUUGUACCAUGCAAGUUCCAAAACCACCACAUUAUUAUUAAGUGGAAAACCCCCUUGCAGUAAGAGUUUGAAGUACCUGAGUCCAUCUCUGUGUCCAGCCAGCUCCUAAGGAC
Long non-coding RNA from Oxyura jamaicensis (ruddy duck), 407 nucleotides. RefSeq lists it as uncharacterized. Lineage: Eukaryota; Metazoa; Chordata; Aves; Anseriformes; Anatidae. The record is from RefSeq and is a predicted model, not a curated record. The transcript is spliced from 2 exons.